GUUGACGCNGGCGGCAGGCCUAACCAUGCAAGUCGAGCGGAAACGAGUUGUCUGAACCUUCGGGGAACGACAACGGCGUCGAGCGGCGGACGGGUGAGUAAUGCCUGGGAAAUUGCCCUGAUGUGGGGGAUAACCAUUGGAAACGAUGGCUAAUACCNGCAUAAUAGCUUCGGCUCAAAGAGGGGGACCUUCGGGCCUCUCGCNGUCAGGAUAUGCCCAGGUUGGGAUUAGCUAGUUGGUGAGGUAAUGGCUCACCAAGGCGACGAUCCCUAGCUGGUCUGAGAGGAUGAUNAUCUCACACUGNAACUGANACACNGUCCAUACUCCUACGGNCAGGCAGCANCGGGGAAUAUUGCACAAUGGGCAGCAAGCCUGAUGCANCCAUGCNNCGUGUAUGAAN
This 400-nucleotide ribosomal RNA is filed under the name Vibrio sp. NBF2. Its description in RNAcentral is "partial 16S ribosomal RNA". It matches the Rfam family "Bacterial small subunit ribosomal RNA", at positions 29 to 410 of the family's 1533-position model. Lineage: Bacteria; Pseudomonadati; Pseudomonadota; Gammaproteobacteria; Vibrionales; Vibrionaceae. The record is from RNAcentral.